AGCUGAAGACUUGAACUGAGAUCAAGAGUCGAUGCUUAACCAAAUGAUUAAAUUUGCCCAUGGCUUUCCUGCCCAAUAGUUCAGUAGCUGUGGCCUGGUGCAGUGGUAAGGCCAGGAGCUCUGGAGCAGAUCUCAGUUUUGUUACUGAUUCCCAGGAAGAAAGACUCAUGAGAACAUUUCUUUUGGAGCUCCACCUUUUCAAAGAAAGGUGCAAAUUAGAUGUCGUAAAUUUGUAAUUCUACUUCCAUCCUUAAAAAAAGAAAUGUCAUUCAGACAUUGGUGUGCUCUGUCACCUUGAAUCAGAAAACAGCUCAUCUGGUUUAUUUAGUUUUUGAAAGCUCACACUUCAAAGAAAGGCAAGGGUUAUAUCCGCUGAUAAUUGUGCGAGCUUACGCAAGCAAAAAAAGAAAGAACUCUUUCCUGACCCCUGCAGUGAUCAGUAUGUAUCUCCCGAAGCACCAGGAUCUGAUGACGUCUGUUGUGGUUUGCUGACUCCCAACAGGCUUGAAUCUGCAGGCUUGACUCCGGAAAAAGAAUCCCACCAGCUUCAAGCGAAACUGUGCCCAAGUAAAGAUUACUAAUAAAAAUACCAUGCAACUGGC
Long non-coding RNA from Suricata suricatta (meerkat), 602 nucleotides. RefSeq lists it as uncharacterized. The transcript has 3 exons. NCBI's taxonomy places the organism in Eukaryota, Metazoa, Chordata, Mammalia, Carnivora, Herpestidae. The record is from RefSeq and is a predicted model, not a curated record.